GGAACCGGGGGUAUUCCGUUAACAAUGACAACCGCCAGGGUUGUUAUUAAAAGAUGGUUUUGCUAACAAUUAGGAAGGUCCCGGGGUGCAUUAGCUAGUUGGUAAGGUAAUGGCUUACCAAGGCCAAUGAUGCAUAGCCGAGUUGAAGGACUGAUCGGCCACAAUGGGAAUGGGACCCGGCCCAUAUUCCUACGGGAGGCAGCAGUAGGGAAUCUUCCCACAAUGGGGGAAAGCCUGAUGGAGCAACGCCGGGUGUUUGAUGAAGGGUUUCGGUUCGUAAAACACUGUUGUAAGAGAAGAAUGACAUUGAGAGUAACUGUUCAAUGUGUGACGGUAUCUUACCAGAAAGGAACGGCUAAAUACGUGCCAGCAGCCGCGGUAAUACGUAUGUUCCAAGCGUUAUCCGGAUUUAUUGGGCGUAAAGCGAGCGCAGACGGUUAUUUAAGUCUGAAGUGAAAGCCCUCAGCUCAACUGAGGAAUUGCUUUGGAAACUGGAUGACUUGAGUGCAGUAGAGGAAAGUGGAACUCCAUGUGUAGCGGUGAAAUGCGUAGAUAUAUGGAAGAACACCAGUGGCGAAGGCGGCUUUCUGGACUGUAACUGACGUUGAGGCUCGAAAGUGUGGGUAGCAAACAGGAUUAGAUACCCUGGUAGUCCACACCGUAAACGAUGAGUGCUAGGUGUUUGAGGGUUUCCGCCCUUAAGUGCCGCAGCUAACGCAUUAAGCACUCCGCCUGGGGAGUACGACCGCAAGGUUGAAACUCAAAGGAAUUGACGGGGACCCGCACAAGCGGUGGAGCAUGUGGUUUAAUUCGAAGCAACGCGAAGAACCUUACCAGGUCUUGACAUCCCUUGACAACUCCAGAGAUGGAGCGUUCCCUUCGGGGACAAGGUGACAGGUGGUGCAUGGUUGUCGUCAGCUCGUGUCGUGAGAUGUUGGGUUAAGUCCCGCAACGAGCGCAACCCUUAUUACUAGUUGCCAGCAUUCAGUUGGGCACUCUAGUGAGACUGCCGGUGACAAACCGGAGGAAGGUGGGGAUGACGUCAAAUCAUCAUGCCCCUUAUGACCUGGGCUACACACGUGCUACAAUGGCGUAUACAACGAGUUGCCAACCCGCGAGGGUGAGCUAAUCUCUUAAAGUACGUCUCAGUUCGGAUUGUAGGCUGCAACUCGCCUACAUGAAGUCGGAAUCGCUAGUAAUCGCGGAUCAGCACGCCGCGGUGAAUACGUUCCUGGGUCUUGUACACACCGCCCGUCACACCAUGAGAGUUUGUAACACCCAAAGGCGGUGGGGUAACCUUCGGGAGCCAGCCGUCUAAGGUGGGACAGAUGAUUA
This 1335-nucleotide ribosomal RNA is filed under the name Weissella sp. Its description in RNAcentral is "bacterial SSU rRNA". It matches the Rfam family "Bacterial small subunit ribosomal RNA", at positions 153 to 1477 of the family's 1533-position model. Lineage: Bacteria; Bacillati; Bacillota; Bacilli; Lactobacillales; Lactobacillaceae. The record is from RNAcentral.